This 744-nucleotide ribosomal RNA is filed under the name Triticum aestivum (bread wheat). Its description in RNAcentral is "partial small subunit ribosomal RNA". Lineage: Eukaryota; Viridiplantae; Streptophyta; Magnoliopsida; Poales; Poaceae. The record is from RNAcentral.
AUGCUGCCCACGACGGCGUCCAAGGGCCGCGGGGCCGCCCGCUCCGCCCCGCCGCUCUUCGGCCCGUAUCUCCGCCGUAUCGUCAAGUGGCAGCAAAUGGAUAUCGAAUACACGUUUUGGCAAAUGGUUCAUCUCUGUACUUCACCAAAAGUAGUCUAUCAGCACACCAAAUAUCACAAGCAAACAAAGAACCAGUGGGCUAGGGAUGAUCCUGCAUUUAUUGUCAUUCUAAUUCUUUUCCUUGUGUUUGCGACAUCAGCUUACUGUGCAGCGUUUGGAGAGAGUGCGCCGCAUGCUGCUUUAACAAUCAUCUCGGUUGUGUUUGUCCAUUUCUUGUUUGCUGGGCUAGUUUUGGCCACACUUUGCUGGUUUCUUACCAAUUCUUAUCUGAGGGAGGAACCUAAUAGCCAUGUGGUCGAACAACGUGUCGAGUGGCUCUAUGCAUUUGAUGUUCACUGCAACUCGUUCUUCCCUGCAUUCGUCAUCCUAUAUGUGCUUCAAUACUUUUUGUCGCCUCUGUUGAUCGCUCAUGGAUUCUUGCCUGCCCUAUUAUCAAACCUCCUGUUCAUGGUGGCAAUUUCUUAUUAUCACUAUCUGAACUUUCUAGGAUAUGAUGUUCUUCCAUUUUUGGACCGAACGACAUUUUUCUUGUACCCAAUCGGACUUGUCAUCAUACUAUCGCCACUCAUGAUACUCAUAGGGUUUAAUCCAACAAGAUACUUUCUGAGCUUGUACUUCCGGUAA